RNAcentral lists this long non-coding RNA (2012 nucleotides) under Nicotiana benthamiana. RNAcentral's name for it is "long non-coding RNA (NBEN_LNC013023)". Lineage: Eukaryota; Viridiplantae; Streptophyta; Magnoliopsida; Solanales; Solanaceae. The record is from RNAcentral.
UGCCUAGAAGCCUCUAGAACCUAUAUCGAAUAUAACUGACCCUAAUAUCAUGGGUCAGUCUUUACAAAAUGGACUGGGCCAAAAACAGGCCCGAAGCUAAAGCAGGUCCAAAAAUAAAAUAGUAGCCCAAUGUGCAGUAUACAUACAAUAUACAAUAAGGAUACAAUGAAAAUACAAAAAUUAUCAAUGUAUGUGUUAAGGCUUAGAAUCUACGUAGUCUUUUAGGUCAACACCCUCCCCCCUCAAGUUGGAGGGGGAGACCACCUUCAACUUGAACAAAAGACGAUGAUGAACAGUGCCAGGCAGAGGCUUGUUGAGAACAUCAGCCAACUGGUGAGAAGUGGAGACAUGAGAAAGGAAAAUCAGACCAUCAGUGAGCUUGGUACGAACAAAAUGACAAUCGACCUCAAUAUGCUUGGUCCGCUCACGAAAAACUGGAUUCUUAGCAAUAUGGAGGGCAGCCUGAUUGUCAGAAUAAACAGAAAAAAGAAAAGAAACAGAAACACCAAGAUCAGUGAGUAAGCGAGAAACCCAAGAUAAUUCAGCAACCACCUUACUGAGUGCCCUGUAUUCUGCCUCAGUAGAGGAUAGAGAGACCACUGGCUGUUUCUUGGACUUCCAAGUGACCAGGCUGUCACCCAAAAUCACACAAAAACCAAUGACAGAUCUGCGAGUGUCAGGGCAAGCUGCCCAGUCACUGUCAAAAAAGGCAGUCACUGAAAUCCAUAGAGCCCUUAAGAUACCUAAGAACAUGGAGGGCAGCAGACAUGUGAGGUAUUCUGGGGGCCUUCAAAAACUGAAUCAAAUGUUGAACAACAAAACAAAUGUCAGGUCUUGUAUGUGUCAAGAAGAGGAGCUUGCCAACCAAGCUCCUGUAAUGAUCAGGAGAAGAGAAAAGAUCACCAGAAUCUGCAUGCAACUUGGUAUUGAGGUCCAAAAGACAUACCACAGGGAAGACAUCUACACAGUCAAACUAAUGUAACAAAUCAGAUAAGUAUUGAGGUUCAAAGGACAGACCACAGGGGGACAUAUACACAGUCAAACUGAUGCAGCAAAUCAGAUACAAACUUGUACUGAUUAAGGAGCACACCACCAGCAACAGUGGACACCUAAAUGCCAGAAAAUAGUGCAAAGACCCAAGGUCUUUGAUUCUGAAUUGGGCAUCCAGGAAGAUCUUGAGGGAAGAAAGUUCAGCAACAUCAUCUCCAGUGAUAAUAAUGUCAUCCACAUACAUAGCCAGAACCACAAGAUACCCAUGCUGGCCCUUGACAAAUAUAGAGUAGUCAUUCAUAGAAUGGACAUAGCCUCUGGACUAUAGAGCAUGAGACAAUAUGACAUACCACUGCCUGGAAGCCUGUCUCAAUCCAUAAAGGGAUUUCUGUAACUUGCACACAAGGGAUGCAGAAACAGAGGGAUCAGAAGAGGCAGAAACACACAAACCUGGAGGAAGCUUCAUAUAGACCUCCUCAUCAAGGUCACCAUGCAAGAAGGCAUUAACAAGACGCCCAGGCUGGCCCUUGACAAAUAAAGAGUAGUCAUUCAUAGAAUAGACAUAGCCUCUGGAAUAUAGAGCAUGAGACAAUUUGGCAUACCACUGCCUGGAAGCCUGUCUCAAUCCAUAAAGGGAUUUUUGUAACUUGCACACAAGAGGUGCAGAAACAGAGGGAUCAGAAGAGGCAGAAACACACAAACCUGGAGGGAGCUUCAUAUAGACCUCCUCAUCAAGGUCACCAUGCAAGAAGGCAUUAUUAACAUCAAGUUGAAAGAGACCCCAAUGUUUCUUAACAGCCACAACAAUUAAGCAUUUAACAGUAGACAUGUUGACCACAUGGGAAAAUGUUUCUGUGAAAUCAACACCUUCAGUUUGAGUGUCACCCCUAAUCAGCCACAACAAUCAAGCAUUUAAUAGUAGACAUCUUGACAACAAGGGAAAAUGUUUCUGUGAAAUUAACACCUUCAAUUUGAGUGUCACCCCUAAUGACAAGCCUAGCCUUGUAUCUUUCAACACUACC